GAUGAACGCUGGCGGCGUGCCUAAUACAUGCAAGUCGAGCGAACAGAUGAGAAGCUUGCUUCUCUGAUGUUAGCGGCGGACGGGUGAGUAACACGUGGGUAACCUACCUAUAAGACUGGGAUAACUCCGGGAAACCGGGGCUAAUACCGGACAAUAUUUUGAACCGCAAGGUUCAAUAGUGAAAGACGGUUUCGGCUGUCACUUAUAGAUGGACCCGCGCCGUAUUAGCUAGUUGGUAAGGGAACGGCUUACCAAGGCGACGAUACGUAGCCGACUUGAGAGGGUGAUCGGCCAGACUGGAACUGAGACACGGUCCAGACUCCUACGGGAGGCAGCAGUAGGGAAUCUUCCGCAAUGGGCGAAAGCCUGACGGAGCAACGCCGCGUGAGUGAUGAAGGUCUUCGGAUCGUAAAACUCUGUUGUUAGGGAAGAACAAAUUUGUUAGUAACUGAACAAGUCUUGACGGUACCUAACCAGAAAGCCACGGCUAACUACGUGCCAGCCGCCGCCGUAA
This 514-nucleotide ribosomal RNA is filed under the name uncultured bacterium. RNAcentral describes it as "partial 16S ribosomal RNA". It matches the Rfam family "Bacterial small subunit ribosomal RNA", at positions 28 to 523 of the family's 1533-position model. The record is from RNAcentral.